CUGACGAGUGGCGGACGGGUGAGUAACGCGUAGGAAUCUGCCCAAUAGUGGGGGACAACCCGGAGAAAUCCGGGCUAAUACCGCAUACGCCCUACGGGGGAAAGGAGGGGAUCUCUUCGGAGACCUUUCGCUAUUGGAUGAGCCUGCGUCGGAUUAGCUUGUUGGUAGGGUAACGGCCUACCAAGGCGACGAUCCGUAGCUGGUCUGAGAGGACGAUCAGCCACACUGGGACUGAGACACGGCCCAG
Molecule: ribosomal RNA, 247 nt
Filed under: uncultured bacterium
Lineage: Bacteria
Description: partial 16S ribosomal RNA
Rfam family: Bacterial small subunit ribosomal RNA
Source: RNAcentral